GGAACUUGGCAGAACCCACAUCUGCCUAAGGUGGAAGCCUAUAGCCUAGGAGAGCCCUUUAGACAGCACUGUGUCCCCCAACGUCCCCUCCCCACAUCCUCACCAUGGCCAGUUUGGGAUUAGGCUUUAGGAGAACCAGGAGAGGACCAUGGCGGGAAGAGUUCUGGUCACUAGCACAUCUGCUGGUUCUGUCCAGUCUUGACUAUUGCUGCAGCCCAGGGGCUCCCUGCAGAAGGCUGGGCUUUGUAGAGAGCCAGACUUGUACUGGGGACACCAUGACCUUAAACUUGGCUGGGCACAGGGUAGUUGAGUGGAAUCCUCUAGUUGUGUGGGAAUGGGCUCUUCCCUCCCCUUCUAAUAAUCUCAGCACUUGCUGGAGAAACAGGACCAGACCAGGCUGCAAACCCCCAGGGCACCUUCCCUGCCUUGGCUGCCUGUUUAGGCUUGGAGUAGCGGCAGUUUUAGCAGCGGACAGGAGGAAGCCCAGGCAAUAGGAGUUGUCUGUCCUCUGGCCCUGGGGCACAAGAUCCCUGGUAGGAAAGUGAGGUAUGGAGAGAGGUUGUCUGGGCUGGGGGAGGAGAGCCAGUCCUUGAGUUGGGAGUGU
RNAcentral lists this long non-coding RNA (604 nucleotides) under Rattus norvegicus (Norway rat). Its description in RNAcentral is "long non-coding RNA NONRATT024525". The record is from RNAcentral. Lineage: Eukaryota; Metazoa; Chordata; Mammalia; Rodentia; Muridae.